This 209-nucleotide long non-coding RNA is filed under the name Elaeis guineensis (African oil palm). RNAcentral's name for it is "long non-coding RNA (EGUI_LNC047244)". The record is from RNAcentral. Lineage: Eukaryota; Viridiplantae; Streptophyta; Magnoliopsida; Arecales; Arecaceae.
GUUUGGUGUUGUGAUCGUGAUCACAAUGAAACUGACAAUAUUUUUUUUUGACGCAUCUCCUCGAUGGUGCUUUCAUUGAUGGGGGGUGAUGAAGGUACUCUUCUCCCUCAAUCUUUAUUAAAAUCUACAUACUACAGAGAGAGAAGUUUAGGAGUUAUGUGUGAAACUGAAAUUAUUCAGUCUCAAGCUCCAUCAGUGGGGUGAAGCUC